Molecule: ribosomal RNA, 253 nt
Filed under: uncultured bacterium
Lineage: Bacteria
Description: partial 16S ribosomal RNA
Rfam family: Bacterial small subunit ribosomal RNA
Source: RNAcentral
UACGUAGGGUGCGAGCGUUGUCCGGAAUUAUUGGGCGUAAAGAGCGUGUAGGCGGCUAGGUAGGUCCGUUGUGAAAACUCGAGGCUCAACCUCGAGACGUCGAUGGAAACCAUCUAGCUAGAGUCCGGAAGAGGAGAGUGGAAUUCCUGGUGUAGCGGUGAAAUGCGCAGAUAUCAGGAAGAACACCCGUGGCGAAGGCGGCUCUCUGGUACGUGACUGACGCUGAGACGCGAAAGCGUGGGGAGCGAACAGG